CUAUCUUACGGGACGCAGCAGUGGGGAAUAUUGCACAAUGGGGGAAACCCUGAUGCAGCAACGCCGCGUGAGUGAGGAAGUAUUUCGGAAUGUAAAGCUCUAUCAGCAGGGAAUAGAAAAGAAGGUACUUGAAAAAGAAGCCCCGGCUAACUACGUGCCAGAAGCGGCGGUAAUACGUAGGGGGCAAGCGUUAUCCGGAUUUACUGGGGGUAAAGGGAGCGUAGACGGAAAGGCAAGUCAGA
Molecule: ribosomal RNA, 242 nt
Filed under: uncultured bacterium
Lineage: Bacteria
Description: partial 16S ribosomal RNA
Rfam family: Bacterial small subunit ribosomal RNA
Source: RNAcentral